RNAcentral lists this unclassified non-coding RNA (471 nucleotides) under Hevea brasiliensis (rubber tree). Lineage: Eukaryota; Viridiplantae; Streptophyta; Magnoliopsida; Malpighiales; Euphorbiaceae. The record is from RNAcentral.
GGGAUCAUAAAUUGGAUUUCCAGUGGCAUUUACAGCAACCAAUGAUGCGGCAGCAAUGGCUAGACCUGUAACAGCAGCACCAUCCUCUGUCAUGACAGCUACAGCUGUAGGAUCAUGACCACGCCAAAUGUAAUCUCUCACUGUCAUUCCUUCAGCAGCAGCUCCUUUUCUGACAGAUUGAAUAGCCACAACGAGAGAAAUACCCUCUAUAAUGAAUGAGCCACCAAUCACCAGUGCUGCAUAUCCAAUAUUUGUAGGUUGCUCAGUAGUCCACAAGUUUUGUACUCCGUGAACUAUAGUAGCACCACAGCCAAGACAAAAGAUACCAACAGCAGAUAUCAAAGACCAGACAAAUCUUUCCUUGGAGUAGCCGUAUGGGUGGAUAGCAUCUGGUGCACGUCUGGAGCUACUUAAACCAUAAGCAAGAAGCGCCUGAUUUGCGAAAUCCGCAACUGAAUGCACAACUUCAGC